This 253-nucleotide ribosomal RNA is filed under the name uncultured bacterium. RNAcentral's name for it is "partial 16S ribosomal RNA". It matches the Rfam family "Bacterial small subunit ribosomal RNA", at positions 524 to 776 of the family's 1533-position model. The record is from RNAcentral.
UACAGAGGUCUCGAGCGUUAGGCGGAAUCACUGGGCUUAAAGCGUGUGUAGGCGGAUCGGUAAGUACCUUGUGAAAUCCCACAGCUUAACUGUGGAACUGCUUGGUAUACUGCCAGUCUUGAGCCACUUAGGGGCUACCGGAACAAAUGGUGGAGCGGUGAAAUGCGUAGAUAUCAUUUGGAACGCCAAUGGUGAAAACAGCAGGCUGGGGAUGUGCAGACGCUGAGACGCGAAAGCCAGGGGAGCAAACGGG